Molecule: ribosomal RNA, 497 nt
Filed under: uncultured bacterium
Lineage: Bacteria
Description: partial 16S ribosomal RNA
Rfam family: Bacterial small subunit ribosomal RNA
Source: RNAcentral
GACGAACGCUGGCGGCGUGCCUAAUACAUGCAAGUUGAGCGCUGAAGGUUGGUCCUUGUACCAACUGGAUGAGCAGCGAACGGGUGAGUAACGCGUGGGUAAUCUGCCUUUGAGCGGGGGACAACAUUUGGAAACGAAUGCUAAUACCGCAUAAAAACUUUAAACACAAGUUUUAAGUUUGAAAGAUGCAAUUGCAUCACUCAAAGAUGAUCCCGCGUUGUAUUAGCUAGUUGGUGAGGUAAAGGCUCACCAAGGCGAUGAUACAUAGCCGACCUGAGAGGGUGAUCGGCCACAUUGGGACUGAGACACGGCCCAAACUCCUACGGGAGGCAGCAGUAGGGAAUCUUCGGCAAGGGACGAAAGUCUGACCGAGCAACGCCGCGGGAGUGAAGAAGGUUGUCGGAUCGUAAAACUCGGUUGGUAGAGAAGAACGUUGGUGAGAGUGGAAAGCUCAUCAAGUGACGGUAACUACACAGAAAGGGACGACUAACUACGUG